AUACAGAGGGUGCAAGCGUUAAUCGGAUUUACUGGGCGUAAAGCGCGCGUAGGUGGCCAAUUUAAGUCAAAUGUGAAAUCCCCGAGCUUAACUUGGGAAUUGCAUUCGAUACUGGUUGGCUAGAGUAUGGGAGAGGAUGGUAGAAUUCCAGGUGUAGCGGUGAAAUGCGUAGAGAUCUGGAGGAAUACCGAUGGCGAAGGCAGCCAUCUGGCCUAAUACUGACACUGAGGUGACGAAAGCAUGGGGAGC
RNAcentral lists this ribosomal RNA (249 nucleotides) under uncultured bacterium. RNAcentral describes it as "partial 16S ribosomal RNA". It matches the Rfam family "Bacterial small subunit ribosomal RNA", at positions 523 to 769 of the family's 1533-position model. The record is from RNAcentral.